GUGAAUCACAGGUCGGCGGGAGCCUUUUUUCCUUUUUUUUUUUUUUUUUUUCCGGGGAGUCGGCCUCGGGGCUCUGCUCUCCUACCUCAGUCUGCCCUACACUGGAAUGGGGAAAAUGCGGACAUGCUACUCAGUCCGGCCGCGAACAGUGCUCCAGAACUCAGAGAGUUUUCCAGACGGGUGGAGAUCGCGUUCCCUGCCCGCGGAGGUCCCAUCGCUUCCCUACUGGGAAGACAAAUGAGGCGCUUUAGCCGUCUCCACGGCCAGCCCCUCCCUCAUAACCCGAGAUUCCUUGUGGGCUCUUAGUCCAUAACUGCCUUUGAGGUGGUGUAGACCUUGCUAACCAGGACGGCCCAGUAGGCAGAGCUCAUUUUUAUUCCUGUCUGCAAUCGUGCAAAAACGCCUCUUAUGGAAGAGGCAGAGCGCCAGGAGUCAGCAAAACACACUAAAGAUUGGGCAGACACUGGGGAGAACACUCAGCCCGCCUGCACCCAGGUGAAAUAUACAGCCUUGUUGCUCACACAAAGCCUAUUUGGUGGUUUCUUCACACAGACGCAUGUGACAUUUGGUGCUGAAGACCCAGGACAGGAGGACUCCUUUGGGAGACCAGUCCCCUGUUAUCGCCCUCACUCCGUGAGGAGAUCCACCUAUGAUCUCAGGUCCUCAGACCAACCAGCCCAAGGAACAUCUCACCAAUUUCAAAUAGGGUAAGUGAAUCUGCAGAGAAGCUUCCUCUAAUCUCCAGCCUGAGAGUUCAGACCUGGUUACCAGCAUUCUAGAAGCUGAAAGAGGAGAAGUUCUUGGAAGACUAAGAAGUCCAACAUUCAAUGGCACACCAGGAGAUUAUAUCCCACACCUGGCUCGGAGGAUCCUACGCCCAUGGAGCCUCGCUCAUUGCUAGCACAGCAGCUGAGAUCAAACUGCAAGGUGGCAGCGAGGCUGGGGGCAGGGCGCCCACCAUUGCCGAGGCUUGAGUAGGUAAACAAAGCGGCUGGAAAGCUCGAACUGGGUGGAGCCCACCCCAGAUCAAGGAGGCCCACCUGCCCCUGUAGACUCCACCUCUGGGGGCAGGGCAUAGCCAAACAAAGGCAGCAGAAACUUCUGCAGACUUAAAUGUCCCUAUCUGACAGCUUUGAAGAGAGUAGUGGUUCUCCCAGCAUGCAGCUUGAGAUCUGAGAACGGACAGACUGCCUCCUCAAGUGGGUCCCUGACCCACGAGUUGCCUAACUGGGAGGCAUCUCCCAGUAGGGACAGACUGACACCUCACACGGCCGGGUACUCCUCUGAGACAAAACUUCCAGAGGAACGAUCAGGCAGCAACAUUUGCUGUUCACCAAUAUCUGCUGUUCUGCAGCCUCCGCUGCUGAUACCCAGGGAAACAGGGUCUGGAGUGGACCUCCAGCAAACUCCAACAGACCUGCAGCUGAGGGUCCUGACUGUUAGAAGGAAAACUAACAAACAGAUAGGACAUCCACACCAAAACCCCAUCUGUACGUCACCAUCAUCAAAGACCAAAGGUAGAUAAAACCACAAAGAUGGGGAAAAAACAGCAGAAAAACUGGAAACUCUAAAAAUCGGAGCACCUCUCCUCCUCGAAAGGAAUGCAGCUCCUCACCAGCAAUGGAACAAAGCUGGAUGGAGAAUGACUUUGACGAGUUGAGAGAAGAAGGCUUCAGAUGAUCAAACUAGUCCGAGCUAAAGGAGGAAGUUCGAACCCAUGGCAAAGAAGUUAAAAACCUUGAAAAAAAAUUAGAUGAAUGGCUAACUAGAAUAACCAAUGCAGAGAAGUCCUUAAAGGACCUGAAGGAGCUGAAAACCACAGCACGAGAAGUACAUGACAAAUGCAAAAGCCUCAGUAGCCGAUUCGAUCAACUGGAAGAAAGGGUAUCAGUGAUAGAAGAUCAAAUGAAUGAAAUGAAGUGAGAAGAGAAGUUUAGAGAAAAAAGAAUAAAAAGAAACAAACAAAGCCUCCAAGAAAUAUGGGACUAUAUGAAAAGACCAAAUCUACGUCUGAUUGGUGUACCUGAAAGUGACGGGGAGAAUGGAACCAAGUUGGAAAACACUCUGCAGGAUAUUAUCCAGGAGAACUUCCCCAAUCUAGCAAGGCAGGCCAACAUUCAGAUUCAGGAAAUACAGAGAACGCCACAAAGAUACUCCUUGAGAAGAGCAACUCCAAGACACAUAAUUGUCAGAUUCACCAAAGUUGAAAUGAAGGAAAAAAUGUUAAGGGCAGGCAGAGAGAAAGGUUGGGUCACCCACAAAGGGAAGCCCAUCAGACUAACAGCUGAUCUCUCAGCAGAAACUCUACAAGCCGGAAGGGAGUGGGGGCCAAUAUUCAACAUUCUUAAAGAAAAGCAUUUUCAACCCAGAAUUUCAUAUCCAGCCAAACUAAGCUUCAUAAGUGAAGGAGAAAUAAAAUCCUUUACAGACAAGCAAAUGCUUAGAGAUUUUGUCACCACCAGGCCUGCCCUAAAAGAGCUCCUGAAGGAAGCAUUAAACAUGGAAAGGAACAACCGGUACCAGCCACUGCAAAAACAUGCCAAAUGGUAAAGACCAUUGAGGCUAGGAAGAAACUGUAUCAACUAAUGAGCAAAAUAACCAGCUAACAUCAUAAUGACAGGAUCAAAUUCACACAUAACAAUAUUAGCCUUAAAUGUAAAUGGGCUAAAUGCCCCAAUUAAAAGACACAGACUGGCAAAUUGGAUAAAGAGUCAAGACCCAUCAGUGUGCUGUAUUCAGGAAACCCAUCUCACAUGCAGAGACACACAUAGGCUCAAAAUAAAGGGAUGCAGGAAGAUCUACCAAGCAAAUGGAAAACAAAAAAAGGCAGGGGUUGCAAUCCCAGUCUCUGACAAAACAGACUUUAAACCAACAAAGAUCAAAAGAGACAAAGAAGGCCAUUACAUAAUGGUAAAGGGAUCAAUUCAACAAGAAGAGCUAACUAUCCUAAAUAUAUAUGCACCCAAUACAGGAGCACCCAGAUUCAUAAAGCAAGUCCUUAGAGACCUACAACGAGACUUAGACUCCCACACAAUAAUAAUGGGAGACUUUAACACCCCACUGUCAACAUUAGACAGAUCAACGAGACAGAAAGCUAACGAGGAUAUCCAGGAAUUGAACUCAGCUCUGCACCAAGCACACCUAAUAGACAUCUACAGAACUCUCCACCCCAAAUCAACAGAAUAUACAUUCUUUUCAGCACCACACCACACCUAUCCCAAAAUUGACCACAUAGUUGGAAGUAAAGCACUCCUCAGCAAAUGUAAAAGAACGGAAAUUAUAACAAACUGUCUCUCAGACCACAGUGCAAUCAACCUAGAACUCAGGAUUAAGAAACUCACUCAAAACCGCUCAACUACAUGGAAACUGAACAACCUGCUCCUGAAUGACUACUGGGUAUAUAACAAAAUGAAGGCAGAAAUAAAGAUGUUAUUUGAAACCAACAAGAACAAAGACACAACAUACCAGAAUCUCUGGAACACAUUCAAAGCAGUGUGUAGAGGGAAAUUUAUAGCACUAAAUGCCCACAAGAGAAAGCAGGAAAGAUCUAAAAUUGACACUCUAACAUCACAAUUAAACGAACUAGAGAAGCAAGAGCAAACACAUUCAAAAAGCUAGCAGAAGGCAAGAAAUAAGAUCAGAGCAGAACUGAAGGAAAUAGAGACACAAAAAACCCUUCAAAAAAUCAAUGAAUCCAGGAGCUGGUUUUUUGAAAAGAUCAACAAAAUUGAUAGACCGCUAGCAAGACUAAUAAAGAAGAAGAGAGAGAAGAAUCAAA
Molecule: long non-coding RNA, 3778 nt
Filed under: Pongo abelii (Sumatran orangutan)
Lineage: Eukaryota; Metazoa; Chordata; Mammalia; Primates; Hominidae
Description: lincRNA
Source: RNAcentral